Molecule: long non-coding RNA, 304 nt
Filed under: Oryza sativa Indica Group (long-grained rice)
Lineage: Eukaryota; Viridiplantae; Streptophyta; Magnoliopsida; Poales; Poaceae
Description: lncRNA OsMH63_01G020310
Source: RNAcentral
AUGGCAGCACGCACGAUGGGCAAGGACUUGGCAGUGGGUGGUGAAUCGUGGCGUGAGUACGGAUCGGAGGCGGAGGCGGAGGCGGUUGGUUGUCGGAGGAGAUCACACCAUAUUAUUGAAUGUGACGACGCCGAAUAUUGGCACCAUAUUAAAAUUGAAAGAUCGACGGCGUCGGGGACAUAUGGGAAGAGAGGGUACAUGUCAGAGGCAGCCAGCAGCAAGCAUGUGAUGGAGAACACCGGCUACGAAGAACGUGAAUUGAUUCCAAAGCAUCUAGCACAGAAGAAUAAAUAAAGGGUCCUCC